RNAcentral lists this ribosomal RNA (375 nucleotides) under Triticum aestivum (bread wheat). Its description in RNAcentral is "partial small subunit ribosomal RNA". The record is from RNAcentral. Lineage: Eukaryota; Viridiplantae; Streptophyta; Magnoliopsida; Poales; Poaceae.
AUGCGCUAUCUGAAAGGUACUAUGAACUAUGGACUUCACUAUACCGGAUACACGUCGGUACUUGAAGGGUAUAGUGAUGCGAAUUGGAUCUCUGAUGCUGAUGAGAUGAAGGCCACAACUGGGUAUAUAUUUACUCUUGGAGGUGGUGCUGUUUCCUGGAAGUCUUGCAAGCAAACGAUCUUAACAAGAUCGACAAUGGAAGCAGAAUUAACAACAUUAGACACAUCGGGUGGCGAAGAAGAAUGGCUUCGAGAUCUGUUGAUGGACUUGCCAGUGGUUGAGAAGCCGGUUCCGGCCAUCCUUAUGAACUGUGACAAUCAAACAGUUAUUGUCAAGGUGAAGAGUUCAAAGGACAACAUGAAGUCCAACAAACAC